UACAGGGGCCCCAAGCGUUAAUCGGAAUUACUGGGCUUAAAGGGUGCGUAGGCGGUCCCGUAAGUGCUCUGUGAAAGCCCACGGCUCAACCGUGGAGGGUCAUUGGAAACUGGGGGACUUGAGUGCAGGAGAGAAGAGUGGAAUUCCACGUGUAGCGGUGAAAUGCGUAGAGAUGUGGAGGAACACCAGUGGCGAAGGCGACUCUUUGGCCUGUAACUGACGCUGAGGCGCGAAAGCCAGGGGAGCAAACGGG
RNAcentral lists this ribosomal RNA (253 nucleotides) under uncultured bacterium. Its description in RNAcentral is "partial 16S ribosomal RNA". It matches the Rfam family "Bacterial small subunit ribosomal RNA", at positions 524 to 776 of the family's 1533-position model. The record is from RNAcentral.